This 500-nucleotide ribosomal RNA is filed under the name uncultured bacterium. RNAcentral describes it as "bacterial SSU rRNA". It matches the Rfam family "Bacterial small subunit ribosomal RNA", at positions 29 to 521 of the family's 1533-position model. The record is from RNAcentral.
AACGAACGCUGGCGGCGCGCCUAACACAUGCAAGUCGAACGAGAAUCCGGGGCAACCCGGUAGUAAAGUGGCAAACGGGUGAGGAAUACAUGGGUAACCUACCCUUGAGAAGGGAAUAACCCGCCGAAAGGUGAGCUAAUACCCUAUACGCUAUCUUUUUUUCGAAAAGGAUAGGAAAGCCGGGUCGAGGACCUGGUACUCAAGGAGGGGCUCAUGUCCUAUCAGCUUGUUGGUGGGGUAACGGCCUACCAAGGCUACGACGGGUAGCUGGUCUGAGAGGAUGAUCAGCCACACUGGCACUGAGAUACGGGCCAGACUCCUACGGGAGGCAGCAGUGAGGAAUAUUGCGCAAUGGGCGAAAGCCUGACGCAGCGACGCCGCGUGGGGGAUGAAGGUUUUCGGAUUGUAAACCCCUUUCAUGAGGAAAGAUAAAGUAGGGUAACCACUUAGACGGUACCUCAAGAAGAAGCCACGGCUAACUUCGUGCCAGCAGCCGCGGU